RNAcentral lists this transfer RNA (77 nucleotides) under Alloscardovia omnicolens. RNAcentral describes it as "tRNA-Leu". It matches the Rfam family "tRNA". From Rfam's summary of the family: Transfer RNA (tRNA) molecules are approximately 80 nucleotides in length. Their secondary structure includes four short double-helical elements and three loops (D, anti-codon, and T loops). Further hydrogen bonds mediate the characteristic L-shaped molecular structure. tRNAs have two regions of fundamental functional importance: the anti-codon, which is responsible for specific mRNA codon recognition, and the 3' end, to which the tRNAs corresponding amino acid is attached (by aminoacyl-tRNA synthetases). tRNAs cope with the degeneracy of the genetic code in two manners: having more than one tRNA (with a specific anti-codon) for a particular amino acid; and 'wobble' base-pairing, i.e. permitting non-standard base-pairing at the 3rd anti-codon position. The record is from RNAcentral. Lineage: Bacteria; Bacillati; Actinomycetota; Actinomycetes; Bifidobacteriales; Bifidobacteriaceae. RNAcentral also lists the same sequence under 2 other names.
GCCCCGGUAUCCCAAUUGGUAGAGGAAACAGCCUCAAAAUCUGUGCAGUGUGGGUUCGAGUCCCACCCGGGGCACAA